RNAcentral lists this ribosomal RNA (84 nucleotides) under Hepatozoon canis. Its description in RNAcentral is "small subunit ribosomal RNA". The record is from RNAcentral. Lineage: Eukaryota; Apicomplexa; Hepatozoidae.
GAGGAUACAAUCCAUAUAGUCCCAGCAACCGCGGUAACACUAUAGAAGAACCGAGUAUUCUCCAUCAAUGCCAGGCGGUAAAAG